RNAcentral lists this long non-coding RNA (1596 nucleotides) under Gopherus agassizii (Agassiz's desert tortoise). RNAcentral describes it as "lncRNA (ENSGAGG00000007284.1)". The record is from RNAcentral. Lineage: Eukaryota; Metazoa; Chordata; Testudines; Testudinidae.
AUGUCACUUCCUUGUUCUCGGGUAUUUCCUGUUUGCUUGCUCCAAGCUCAGGUCAAAAACCAGGCAUUUGCUCAGCAUAUCAAGAGCAAGAAGCAUUUAAUCCCCAAUGCUACUCUGUGGGAUUUGGAACACAGCUGGGACAUCACUAAGAUGGAUGCUCAGCUCAGAGGAGGUCUCAGGAAGAUGCCAGAGGUGCUGCCCCAUAGAAGUGCUCUUCUGGCUCUGCUCUUGAUCGCUGCCAUUCUGCCAUUCACAUGCUCCUAUGUUCUUAUUCAUCACACUAGCUCAGGAGGGCAAUGCCAAGAGUCUUGUGAAUAUCGUGGUUACAGUUACACCUGGUGCAAGCAACUGGGAGGCAAGAAGGCGGCCUGGGAUUACUGCUCCUCACAACCAGGUUUGGAGGCCUCUGGAAAAUGAUAUGCAACUCCCUGUGAGCUCUGGGGUGCUUCUUACCAUAGCUGCUAUUUGCAGGAUGGUAACUGGGGCUACUGUGGACUAAUUACCAGAUGGUAUCACGCCAAAUAUUCCCAAGAGAACAAGCUGUGUAUCAGCCAGUGCCGAGCAACCCAGGGAACUUUCCAGUGCAAUACACUUGAUGGCAUUGAACCCUGCGCCCCCUUCCCUGAUGUGACCACCAGAGGCCUCCCCUGCCACAACAACUACCCAUGUGCCCGUUAUGGGCACAGUGGAUACCGGUGCCAUACUGACAAAGAAGACGACAGCUGGGCAUACUGUGGGAGGAGGAGCCUGGAAGAAUGUGUGUGGAUUUCCCACCAGACCAAUGCUACCCAAGCAGAGUUCUGCAUCCUUAGUUAUGCCCAAGGAGGAGAUGACAAUAUCACUUUCCGCCGAGAGAGACAAGACAAAUUGAUCCAUCCUGCCAAAGAGCAGUUCCAAAAUGCUACCUACCUUAUUGAUAGCAUUACCUCCAGCAUCAGCAUCCCUGACUCUUGGGCCCUGGGCUCAGUGCGUCUACACAAGCAGGAAGAAAUCUUCUGUAAGGGCAUCAACUACACCAACUUGGUGAUGCAAAUAAGCAAAUCCACAGAGUUCUAUUUGCCCAUCGCUUGGGUUCUCUUCCCAAAGACCCUGGAUGCUGAUGAGUUCCUGCGCUUAGCACUGUACACUAGUCUCCAUAGUGCCUUUUACCCACCUGCUUACGCCAUUGUUGUAUCUCUUAGUGAACCAAUGUUGUGUUCCAUUAACACCUAUGACAUGAAGAACUAACUCAACCUGCUCCUUGCUUGACAUUGUCUAAUUUUAUGUUGCUGACUUCCCACAUUAACCUUUAUUUAGUCUUCACACUAUCACUGCCCAUCAUUUCACUGCAAAGAUGCAAAUAUUAUUAUUGUUCAUGUUGUGUAAAACACUGAAUCAAACAGAGUCCCUUCCUAAGAGCAUUCUAUCCUGAAAAGCAUUCAGAGAGCUGCCUAUUGCCAGUAAUUGUCUUUGUACACAGAGAUCACAAUCAUUCAUGCACGGUUGGAAUGUGACUGACUCUGCUUGUGCACUAUUUGUACUAAUCUCUCUCCAUAUGAGGUUAUAUUUGUGAAUUAAUUAUCUCCCCUUGGUACAGAUGACACAUUUCAAAUAAAG